GGGGAUGGCGGCGUGCUAAUACAUGCAAGUCGAGCGGACAGAAGGGAGCUUGCUCCCGGAUGUUAGCGGCGGACGGGUGAGUAACACGUGGGUAACCUGCCUGUAAGACUGGGAUAACUCCGGGAAACCGGAGCUAAUACCGGAUAGUUCCUUGAACCGCAUGGUUCAAGGAUGAAAGACGGUUUCGGCUGUCACUUACAGAUGGACCCGCGGCGCAUUAGCUAGUUGGUGAGGUAACGGCUCACCAAGGCAACGAUGCGUAGCCGACCUGAGAGGGUGAUCGGCCACACUGGGACUGAGACACGGCCCAGACUCCUACGGGAGGCAGCAGUAGGGAAUCUUCCGCAAUGGACGAAAGUCUGACGGAGCAACGCCGCGUGAGUGAUGAAGGUUUUCGGAUCGUAAAGCUCUGUUGUUAGGGAAGAACAAGUGCAAGAGUAACUGCUUGCACCUUGACGGUACCUAACCAGAAAGCCACGGCUAACUACGUGCCAGCAGCCGCGGUAAUACGUAGGUGGCAAGCGUUGUCCGGAAUUAUUGGGCGUAAAGGGCUCGCAGGCGGUUUCUUAAGUCUGAUGUGAAAGCCCCCGGCUCAACCGGGGAGGGUCAUUGGAAACUGGGAAACUUGAGUGCAGAAGAGGAGAGUGGAAUUCCACGUGUAGCGGUGAAAUGCGUAGAGAUGUGGAGGAACACCAGUGGCGAAGGCGACUCUCUGGUCUGUAACUGACGCUGAGGAGCGAAAGCGUGGGGAGCGAACAGGAUUAGAUACCCUGGUAGUCCACGCCGUAAACGAUGAGUGCUAAGUGUUAGGGGGUUUCCGCCCCUUAGUGCUGCAGCUAACGCAUUAAGCACUCCGCCUGGGGAGUACGGUCGCAAGACUGAAACUCAAAGGAAUUGACGGGGGCCCGCACAAGCGGUGGAGCAUGUGGUUUAAUUCGAGCACGCGAAGGAGCCUUACCAGGUCUUGACAUCCUCUGACAACCCUAGAGAUAGGGCUUUC
RNAcentral lists this ribosomal RNA (1000 nucleotides) under uncultured bacterium. RNAcentral describes it as "bacterial SSU rRNA". It matches the Rfam family "Bacterial small subunit ribosomal RNA", at positions 32 to 1016 of the family's 1533-position model. The record is from RNAcentral.